GACGAACGCUGGCGGCGUGCUUAAUACAUGCAAGUCGAGCGAUGAAGUUUCCUUCGGGAAACGGAUUAGCGGCGGACGGGUGAGUAACACGUGGGUAACCUGCCUCAUAGAGGGGAAUAGCCUCCCGAAAGGGAGAUUAAUACCGCAUAACAUUGCAGUUUCGCAUGAAACAGCAAUUAAAGGAGCAAUCCGCUAUGAGAUGGACCCGCGGCGCAUUAGCUAGUUGGUAAGGUAAUGGCUUACCAAGGCGACGAUGCGUAGCCGACCUGAGAGGGUGAUCGGCCACAUUGGGACUGAGACACGGCCCAGACUCCUACGGGAGGCAGCAGUGGGGAAUAUUGCACAAUGGGGGAAACCCUGAUGCAGCAACGCCGCGUGAGUGAUGACGGUCUUCGGAUUGUAAAGCUCUGUCUUUGGGGACGAUAAUGACGGUACCCAAGGAGGAAGCCACGGCUAACCACGUG
RNAcentral lists this ribosomal RNA (464 nucleotides) under uncultured bacterium. RNAcentral describes it as "bacterial SSU rRNA". It matches the Rfam family "Bacterial small subunit ribosomal RNA", at positions 28 to 507 of the family's 1533-position model. The record is from RNAcentral.